UUUUUAGUAUAAGUGUCUCCCAUGUAAUUUUGGGGACAUAUUUAUACUAAAA
RNAcentral lists this microRNA precursor (52 nucleotides) under Equus asinus (donkey). RNAcentral describes it as "mir-1302 microRNA precursor family". It matches the Rfam family "mir-1302 microRNA precursor family". RNAcentral also lists the same sequence under 1 other name. The record is from Rfam by way of RNAcentral. Lineage: Eukaryota; Metazoa; Chordata; Mammalia; Perissodactyla; Equidae.